GUCGGGAAUCUUGGGCAAUGGGCGAAAGCCUGACCCAGCGACGCCGCGUGAGGGAUGAAGGCCUUCGGGUCGUAAACCUCUGUCGGGAGGGAAGAAUGGCGGUAGGGCGAAUAGUCCUGCCGUUUGACGGUACCUCCAAAGGAAGCGCCGGCUAACUCCGUGCCAGCAGCCGCGGUAAUACGGAGGGCGCAAGCGUUGUUCGGAAUCACUGGGCGUAAAGCGCGUGUAGGCGGCCGGGCAAGUCGGAUGUGAAAUCCCGAGGCUCAACCUCGGAACUGCACUCGAAACUGCUCGGCUCGAGUCCCGGAGAGGAUGGCGGAAUUCCCGGUGUAGGGGUGAAAUCCGUAGAUAUCGGGAGGAACACCAGUGGCGAAGGCGGCCAUCUGGACGGUGACUGACGCUGAGACGCGAAAGCGUGGGGAGCAAACAGGAUUAGAAACCCCAGUAGUCC
This 451-nucleotide ribosomal RNA is filed under the name uncultured delta proteobacterium. RNAcentral's name for it is "bacterial SSU rRNA". It matches the Rfam family "Bacterial small subunit ribosomal RNA", at positions 354 to 796 of the family's 1533-position model. The record is from RNAcentral. Lineage: Bacteria; Deltaproteobacteria.